UGAUUCACCGGUAAAAAGGCUAAAAUCUGGGAUUUUGAAACCUUUAGGGUAUUUGAACUGUUCCACAUAAGCUGGAUACGGAUGGAUAAAUUUAGGGAACUUCGGCCCUUUUUUCAUGGCCGAAUCGAUCAUCCGCUGAACCUCGGUCAUAUCAACGGGUGUGGCUUCUACUCUAUGGUCGGAUCCGCCUGACUUACUA
This 199-nucleotide long non-coding RNA is filed under the name Malus domestica (apple). RNAcentral describes it as "long non-coding RNA (MDOM_LNC015305)". The record is from RNAcentral. Lineage: Eukaryota; Viridiplantae; Streptophyta; Magnoliopsida; Rosales; Rosaceae.